AAUCAACGCUGGCGGCGUGCCUCAGACAUGCAAGUCGAACGAUUAAACUUUCCUUCGGGGAAGAUAUAGAGUGGCGCACGGGUGAGUAACACGUAAGUAAUCUACCCUUGGGUGGGGAAUAACAUCGGGAAACCGAUGCUAAUACCGCAUAAUGCAGCGGCUUCUUAUGAAGACAGUUGUUAAAGCAUUUAUGUGCCUGAGGAGGAGCUUGCGGCAGAUUAGCAGUUGGUAAGGUAAUGGCUUACCAAGGCGACGAUCUGUAGCCGACCUGAGAGGGUGGUCGGUCACACUGACACUGAAUAACGGGUCAGACUCCUACGGGAGGCAGCAGUCGGGAAUUUUGGGCAAUGGGCGCAAGCCUGACCCAGCAACGCCGCGUGAAGGAUGAAGUAUUUCGGGUAUGUAAACUUCGUAAAAUAGGAAGAAUAAAUGACGGUACUAUUUGUAAGGUCCGGCUAACUACGUGCCUGCAGCAGCCGCGGUAAU
RNAcentral lists this ribosomal RNA (486 nucleotides) under uncultured bacterium. Its description in RNAcentral is "bacterial SSU rRNA". It matches the Rfam family "Bacterial small subunit ribosomal RNA", at positions 32 to 524 of the family's 1533-position model. The record is from RNAcentral.